UCAUGUUUGAGGUCUCAAUGUAAUUAGCACAGUAAUCUGCAAAAAGAAGCUUCUGGAAGACAGACUCUCUCCUUGGACUUUGCAUUGAAUCUAAAUCGAAGAGGUGCAUUUCUUUAGCAGGUUACUUUUUGUUCAUUGGCUCCAGCCACAUUUGGAUAUUCAUCUUGUGAAAAUCGGACUAUCUUUGGUUUCACUUUGUGAAGUACCUGAGGGGAAAAAAAAUAGACAUUUAUAUUAAUCUGAACCAUCAAUCCAUCAAACUGUCCCAAUCUCAUCAUUUAAGAAAUAUCUAAAAAUUCCACACCAUAAAGCUUUCUUGAUAAUUUGAUAUGCAAUUCACAUGAAUCCUUUUCAAAAAGCACAUUACAUACUGCCUGAACAAAUUCUUAUUCUAGCGAUAUUGAAUCUUAAUGAUAAUGAACAAAUUUCCCUGCCCAACUGAGUCGAUCCACUCCCUUAUUCCCCAUACACUUUGACCUGACCCUUUCUUCUUCUUGCUGCAGAUCUGCCUUUCCCUUUCACUGUUUAUCUUUUGGAACUCCCAUUUUUAAAUAACAAACUUCUCCAAACUUGAGAUUUUCUCAUCUCUUGCUCCUCACAUCUUCUGAAACUUAUUGAAAUUUGGUUUCUCCUAUAUGAAUCUUGGAUGAUCCUUUCUAGUACUAUUUAUACUUUUUCUCAUCUCCCCAAUUUGUGUGUCCUACUGGGAAUAUUAAUGUUCUUUGUUCCCUAUUAACACUUUCAAAUUCUUGUUCUACUACCAUUACUCAGAAAAUGCUUUUCUGAGGUUCAUUCUAUUGAAAUCCAUAACCCAUUUAGAAUUUAAAAAUUAAUAUUAAUGGGGAAGCUAGUUGGUGUAAUAGAUAGAGCAUCAGUUCUGAAAUCAAGAGCACCCGAGUUCAAAUCUGGCCUCAGAAAUUUAACACUUCCUAACUGUGUGAGACCUUUGACAAGUCACUUAACCCCAAUUGCCUCAGCAAAAAAAAAUAGAUUUGGCAAAGUCAAAAAAGAAAACAACUCCUUGAAAAACAGAAUUUGUGAAAUGGAAAAAAGAUCCCAUGAGCAAAACAACUCAUUUAAAAGUUCAAUUGGUCAAAUGUAAAGGAAAAUAAAAAUCUAACUAAAGAAAAUAAUUCACUAAAAAUUAGAAUUGAACAAAUGCAAGUAAAUGACUCAAUGAGACAUCAAGAAUUAGUCAAGCAAAAUCAAAAAAAAAAUGAAAAAAUGGAAGAAAAUGUAAAAUACCUCAUCAGAAAAACAACUGACCUGGAAAAUAGAUCUAGGAGAGACAAUCUAAGAAUUACUGGACUAUUUAAAAACCAUCUUUCAAGAAAUCAUCAAAAUAAAACUAUGCUGGUGUGCUAUUACCAGAGGAUAAAAUAGCCAUUGAAAGAAUCCACUGAUUACCUCCUGAAAAAGAACCCAAAAUGAAAACUCCAAGGAAUAUCAUAGCUAAAUUUCAUAAUUACCAGAUAAAGGAGAAAAUAUGGUAAUCAACUAGAAAGAAACAAUUCAAAUAUUCAGGAGCCACAAUCAGGAUUACUCAGGACCAAGCAGCUUCUAUUUUUAAGGAUCAAAUGGCCUGGAAUAUGACAUUCCCAAGGGCAAAGGUGUUUGGAUUGCAACCAAAAAUCAACUAUCCAGAAAAAUUAAACACUAUUUUUCAGGGGGAAAAAAGAUGGACAUUCAAUGAAAUAGGUGAAUUGCAUUUAUUUUUGAUGAAAAGGCCAGAGAUGAACAUAAAAUUUGAUCUUCAAAUACAGAACUUAAGAGAAGUAUAAAAAGAUGAAAAGGAAAAGAAAAAACACUAUUUUAAAGGUUAAAAUGUUUACAUCCCUACAUGGGAAGAUGAUAUAUGUAACUCUUGAGAAUUGUAUCUUUUGCCAAAAUGUUUGUAGCAGCCCUGUUUGUAGUGGCUAGAAACUGGAAAAUGAAUGGAUGCCCAUCAAUUGGAGAAUGGCUGGGUAAAUUGUGGUAUAUGAAUGUUAUGGAAUAUUAUUGCUCUGUAAGGAAUGACCAGCAGGAUGAAUACAGAGAGGCUUGGAGAGACCUACAUGGACUGAUGCUAAGUGAGAUGAGCAGAACCAGGAGAUCAUUAUACACUUCGACAACGAUAUUGUAUGUGGAUGUAUUCUGAUGGAAGUGGAUUUCUCUGACAAAGAGACUUAACUGAGUUUCAUUGGAUAAAUGAUGGACAGAAACAGCUACACCCAAAGAAGGAAUACUGGGAAAUGAAUGUGAACUAUUUGCAUUUUUGAUUUUCUUCCCGAGUUAUUUUUACCUUCUGAAUCCAAUUCUCCCUGUGCAGCGAGAGAACUGUUCGGUUCUGCAAAUAUGUAUUGUAUCUAGGAUAUACUGCAACAUAUUUAACAUAUAUAGGACUGCUUGCCAUCUUGGGGGGGGAGGAGGAAGGGAGGGGAAAAAACGAAACAUAAGUGAUUGCAAGGGAUAAUGUUGUGUAAAAAUUAUCCUGGUAUGGAUUCUGUCAAUACAAAGUUAUUAUUAAAUAAAAUUAAAUUAAAAAAAAAAAGAGAAUUGUAUCUUUGUUAGGGAUAUACUUAGAGGGUAUAAGUAUAAUUUGACUUUAUUGUAAAAAUGUAAAAAAGAAACUAGGAUUAAAAAAAACUUAAAAAGAAACUAGGGAUGGAAAAGGGAUUGUACUAAAAGAGGAGGAAAGGGGAAGUAAAAUGGGGAAAAUUACAUCACAUGAAGAGGCAAAAAAAAAAAAAAACAAAAAACAAAAAACAAAAACACCCUUUACAAUUGAGAGGAGAUGAGCAUUGUGUGAACCUUAAUCUCAUUGGAUUUGGCUCAGAGAGAGAAUAUCAGAUAAGAAAAACUUGUCUCACACUAUAGGGAAGUAGAAGAGGAAAGGGAAAAGAAAAGGGGAGACUAACAGAAGGGAGAACAGAAGAUGACAGGGAAAAUGAUAAGAAACAGGGGAAGGACUGUAGAAGGGGUGGCUGUUUGAGGGAGAUAGUGGUCAGAAGCAAAACAUUGGGAAAGAGGAAAAAGGAGAAAGAGAAAAGUAUAACUUGAGGAAAAUAAGAUGGCAGGAAAUACAAAGUAAUUUUAACUGUGAAUGUGAAUGGAAUGAAAUCUCCCAUAAAAUAUAAGCAGAUGGCAGACUGGAUUAAAAGCCAGAAUCCUAUAAUAUGUUGUUUAUAAGAAACACAUUUAAAGCAGAGUGAUACAUACAGAGUAAAGGUAAAAGGCUGGAGAAGAAUCUAUUAUGUUUCAGCUGAAGUAAAAAAAUCAGGGGUAGCCAUCCUGAUUUCAGAUCAAGCAAAAGCAAAAAUUGAUCUAAUUAAAAGAGAUAAACUACAUUUUGCUAAAGGGAACCAUAGAUAAUGAAGUAAUAUCAAUACUAAACUUAUACACACAAGUAGUAUAGCAUCCAAAUUCCUAGAAGAGAAGAGAGUUGCAAGAAGAAACAAACACUAGAUCUAAUUUUGGUGACCUUAUCAGCUCCCAUUAGUCUAAUUACAC
Antechinus flavipes (yellow-footed antechinus) is the source of this 3489-nucleotide long non-coding RNA. RefSeq lists it as uncharacterized. The transcript is spliced from 2 exons. The record is from RefSeq and is a predicted model, not a curated record. NCBI's taxonomy places the organism in Eukaryota, Metazoa, Chordata, Mammalia, Dasyuromorphia, Dasyuridae.